ACCCGCUGAACUUAAGCAUAUCAAUAAGCGGAGGAAAAGAAACCAACAGGGAUUGCCCCAGUAACGGCGAGUGAAGCGGCAACAGCUCAAAUUUGAAAUCUGGAGCCUUCGGCUUCCGAGUUGUAAUUUGCAGAGGGUGCCUCGGAGGGCGAGUCGGUCCAAGUGCCUUGGAACAGGAUACCGCAGAGGGUGAGAGUCCCGUAUCCGGCCGGCGACGCGCUCCGUGUGAGGCCCCUUCGACGAGUCGAGUUGUUUGGGAAUGCAGCUCUAAGUGGGUGGUAAAUUCCAUCUAAAGCUAAAUACUGGCCAGAGACCGAUAGCGAACAAGUAGAGUGAUCGAAAGAUGAAAAGCACUUUGAAAAGAGAGUCAAACAGUACGUGAAAUUGUUGAAAGGGAAGCGCAUGGGGGCAGACUUGGCCGCGGGGUUCAGGGUGCGUUCUCGCGCCUGCACUUCCCCGCGGACAGGCCAGCAUCGGUUCUGGGGGCCGGACAAAGGCGACGGGAAUGUGGCAGCCUUCGGGCUGUGUUAUAGCCCGGCGCGCAAUGCGGCCACCCGGGACCGAGGACCGCGCUUCGGCAAGGAUGCCGGCGUAAUGGCCUC
RNAcentral lists this ribosomal RNA (602 nucleotides) under uncultured fungus. RNAcentral's name for it is "eukaryotic LSU rRNA". It matches the Rfam family "Eukaryotic large subunit ribosomal RNA", at positions 23 to 641 of the family's 3401-position model. The record is from RNAcentral. Lineage: Eukaryota; Fungi.